Molecule: ribosomal RNA, 599 nt
Filed under: Comamonas thiooxydans
Lineage: Bacteria; Pseudomonadati; Pseudomonadota; Betaproteobacteria; Burkholderiales; Comamonadaceae
Description: bacterial SSU rRNA
Rfam family: Bacterial small subunit ribosomal RNA
Source: RNAcentral
GGUACAGGUCUUCGGAUGCUGACGAGUGGCGAACGGGUGAGUAAUACAUCGGAACGUGCCUAGUAGUGGGGGAUAACUACUCGAAAGAGUAGCUAAUACCGCAUGAGAUCUACGGAUGAAAGCAGGGGACCUUCGGGCCUUGUGCUACUAGAGCGGCUGAUGGCAGAUUAGGUAGUUGGUGGGGUAAAGGCUUACCAAGCCUGCGAUCUGUAGCUGGUCUGAGAGGACGACCAGCCACACUGGGACUGAGACACGGCCCAGACUCCUACGGGAGGCAGCAGUGGGGAAUUUUGGACAAUGGGCGAAAGCCUGAUCCAGCAAUGCCGCGUGCAGGAUGAAGGCCCUCGGGUUGUAAACUGCUUUUGUACGGAACGAAAAGCCUGGGGCUAAUAUCCCCGGGUCAUGACGGUACCGUAAGAAUAAGCACCGGCUAACUACGUGCCAGCAGCCGCGGUAAUACGUAGGGUGCAAGCGUUAAUCGGAAUUACUGGGCGUAAAGCGUGCGCAGGCGGUUUUGUAAGACAGUGGUGAAAUCCCCGGGCUCAACCUGGGAACUGCCAUUGUGACUGCAAGGCUAGAGUGCGGCAGAGGGGGAUGGA